UACGUAGGUGGCAAGCGUUGUCCGGAUUUACUGGGCGUAAAGAGCGCGCAGGCGGUCGUUCAAGUCGCGUGUGAAAGCCCCCGGCUCAACUGGGGAGGGUCACGCGAUACUGUUCGACUCGAAGGCAGGAGAGGGAAGUGGAAUUCCCGGUGUAGUGGUGAAAUGCGUAGAUAUCGGGAGGAAUACCUAUGGCGAAAGCAGGCUACUGGACCAUCACUGACGCUGAUCUGCGAAAGCUAGGGGAGCAAACAGG
RNAcentral lists this ribosomal RNA (253 nucleotides) under uncultured bacterium. Its description in RNAcentral is "partial 16S ribosomal RNA". It matches the Rfam family "Bacterial small subunit ribosomal RNA", at positions 524 to 776 of the family's 1533-position model. The record is from RNAcentral.